UUCGCCACGUCGAUCUGCUCAUUUUGUGAGAGCAGUUUGCCGAUAGAUUCGCGAAUAGAAGGAUGCCAGCUCACGGCGCGACUCACGGCAUCGGUCAGCGUCAGAGUACCGGGGGCGGCGGGGCUUAGCGGCAGAUCGGCAACGGAUCCAUCCAGGUUCGGAAGCAUCUGGCUGGAGGCCAGUCCUUCCGACGUAAUAACCUGAGGUUCAUCCUCGGCAUUCCCCCGCAUGGAACAGAGCGUUAAUGCCAGCAGUAAUGCAACGGGCAUGACUUUUCCCAUAUCUCAUCCCUUUCAAAAUACAACCGUUACGGCAGUUGCUCCGGGCGUCGUGGCGCCCGGAGCUUUA
This 348-nucleotide small RNA is filed under the name Citrobacter portucalensis. RNAcentral's name for it is "isrL Hfq binding RNA". It matches the Rfam family "isrL Hfq binding RNA". Lineage: Bacteria; Pseudomonadati; Pseudomonadota; Gammaproteobacteria; Enterobacterales; Enterobacteriaceae. The record is from RNAcentral.